Molecule: ribosomal RNA, 441 nt
Filed under: uncultured Glomus
Lineage: Eukaryota; Fungi; Glomeromycota; Glomeromycetes; Glomerales; Glomeraceae
Description: SSU rRNA
Rfam family: Eukaryotic small subunit ribosomal RNA
Source: RNAcentral
AGCAGCCGCGGUAAUUCCAGCUCCAAUAGCGUAUAUUAAAGUUGUUGCAGUUAAAAAGCUCGUAGUUGAAUUUCGGGGUUAGUAGGCUGGUCGUGCCACUGGUACGUACUGGUCUCACUGACUCCUCCUUCCUGAUGAACUGUAAUGCCAUUAAUUUGGUGUUGCAGGGAAACUGGACUGUUACUUUGAAAAAUUAGAGUGUUUAAAGCAAGCUAACGCUUGAAUACAUUAGCAUGGAAUAAUGAAAUAGGACGUUCGAUCCUAUUUUGUUGGUUUCUAGGAUUGACGUAAUGAUUAAUAGGGAUAGUUGGGGGCAUUAGUAUUCAAUUGUCAGAGGUGAAAUUCUUGGAUUUAUUGAAGACUAACUACUGCGAAAGCAUUUGCCAAGGAUGUUUUCAUUAAUACAAGAACGAAAGUUAGGGGAUCGAAGACGAUCAGAUA